Molecule: ribosomal RNA, 1445 nt
Filed under: uncultured marine cyanobacterium
Lineage: Bacteria; Bacillati; Cyanobacteriota
Description: bacterial SSU rRNA
Rfam family: Bacterial small subunit ribosomal RNA
Source: RNAcentral
GAGUUUGAUCAUGGCUCAGGAUGAACGCUGGCGGCGUGCUUAACACAUGCAAGUCGAACGAACCUUCGGGUUAGUGGCGGACGGGUGAGUAACGCGUGGGAAUCUGCCCUCAGGAGGGGGAUAACGGUUGGAAACGACCGCUAAUACCCCAUAUGCCGAGAGGUGAAAUGAAUUUCGCCUGAGGAUGAGCCCGCGUCUGAUUAGCUUGUUGGUGAGGUAAUGGCUCACCAAGGCAUCGAUCAGUAGCUGGUCUGAGAGGAUGAUCAGCCACACUGGGACUGAGACACGGCCCAGACUCCUACGGGAGGCAGCAGUGGGGAAUUUUCCGCAAUGGGCGAAAGCCUGACGGAGCAACGCCGCGUGAGGGACGAAGGCCUCUGGGCUGUAAACCUCUUUUCUCAAGGAAGAAGAUAUGACGGUACUUGAGGAAUAAGCCACGGCUAAUUCCGUGCCAGCAGCCGCGGUAAUACGGGAGUGGCAAGCGUUAUCCGGAAUUAUUGGGCGUAAAGCGUCCGCAGGCGGCCUUUCAAGUCUGCUGUUAAAACGUGGAGCUUAACUCCAUCAUGGCAGUGGAAACUGAUUGGCUUGAGUAUGGUAGGGGCAGAGGGAAUUCCCGGUGUAGCGGUGAAAUGCGUAGAUAUCGGGAAGAACACCAGUGGCGAAGGCGCUCUGCUGGGCCAUUACUGACGCUCAUGGACGAAAGCCAGGGGAGCGAAAGGGAUUAGAUACCCCUGUAGUCCUGGCCGUAAACGAUGAACACUAGGUGUCGGGGGAAUCGACCCCUUCGGUGUCGUAGCUAACGCGUUAAGUGUUCCGCCUGGGGAGUACGCACGCAAGUGUGAAACUCAAAGGAAUUGACGGGGGCCCGCACAAGCGGUGGAGUAUGUGGUUUAAUUCGAUGCAACGCGAAGAACCUUACCAGGGCUUGACAUCCUGCGAACCUUUAAGAAAUUAGAGGGUGCCUUCGGGAACGCAGUGACAGGUGGUGCAUGGCUGUCGUCAGCUCGUGUCGUGAGAUGUUGGGUUAAGUCCCGCAACGAGCGCAACCCACGUUUUUAGUUGCCAGCAUUUAGUUGGGCACUCUAGAAAGACCGCCGGUGAUAAACCGGAGGAAGGUGUGGAUGACGUCAAGUCAUCAUGCCCCUUACGUCCUGGGCUACACACGUACUACAAUGCUACGGACAAAGGGCAGCAAACUCGCGAGAGCUAGCAAAUCCCAUAAACCGUGGCUCAGUUCAGAUCGUAGGCUGCAACUCGCCUACGUGAAGUAGGAAUCGCUAGUAAUCGCAGGUCAGCAUACUGCGGUGAAUACGUUCCCGGGCCUUGUACACACCGCCCGUCACACCAUGGAAGUUGGCCACGCCCGAAGUCGUUACUUUAACCCUUGUGGAGAAGGACGCCGAAGGUGGGGCUGAUGACUGGGGUGAAGUCGUAACAAGGUAACC